Molecule: long non-coding RNA, 2200 nt
Organism: Girardinichthys multiradiatus
Lineage: Eukaryota; Metazoa; Chordata; Actinopteri; Cyprinodontiformes; Goodeidae
Exons: 2
Source: RefSeq, a predicted model, not a curated record
AUUUAAGCUGUCUGGUUGUUUUUACUGAAUUCUUCCGAUACACUCCUAGUGUCCCUAUACCCCCUUUGGACAACCUUUGGGCCAUCAUCUUGCCCAGCUCGCCAUUUGUGCUCUUCAGGCCAGUUACAGAUAAGAAGGCCCCUGCUGAGCCAGUGCUCUGAUGUUUACACUACUCUGGGACUGCAAGUUAGAGAGAUGACAGCAGACCUCUAUCAGACUGUCAUAUUGUAAGCUAAAUUCAGUGUGAGAGAAGUAGAGGAUGGAGACGUAUAGAUGGUGCCAGCUGUCCAAGUGCCCGGCCGGCUGCCAGCAAGUAGCACUUUUCCGGAUGCCAAGCUGAUCCUACUGUUGCGUCUUCGUGAGUGAAGCAGGAACUCAGAGCUUUCCCUCAAGACUGCCUUCACCUGCUCCCACUCCGACUUCUUACUGCUCAACAUGCUGGGGGCCCCACAUACCAUGGAAAAGCUGUUAAAUGUUGGCAGGGUCUCUUGGAGGGCUGCGGAGGAAGCUUUAUGUGAGACUGAGUGUGGAACUGAAAAUGUAGAGCCACUCAGCCCAUCGUAGUUCUUAUUGGUGCUGGAAUGUGUGAAGCUAAAAUGGACCUUCUGAUAUACACUUAGGGACUAUUGGAAACUUGCAUAAUAGAUGAGAGCCCAUCAGUGGAAGCCAGAGAAGUAAACCUUGCUUCUCAUUUGGAUGAAACUAUUAGUUUCCUGUUUGUAAAUGAUAGUUGUUUGAGUGAAUUUUAUUUUUACAGAAAAUAUUUAUUAUCUAAUAGAGAAUAAUUUCAUUUUGGAGAAUAAUGUACAAAAAGGGUUUACCCCCUUACAGAUUUCUUGUGAUUUAGCUUUUUUGUCACACUUAAAUGUGUUAGAUUGUCCAAUAAAGGUUAAUUUUUAAGAUAACCAGAAUGAAUACAAAAUGCAACUUUUAGAUGAUGAUUUUAUUUAUGAAGGGGUAACAGCUACCAACAUCAUCCUGGCCCUGAAAAAGCAAUUGCCACCUUAACCUAAUUACUGGUAGGGCCAUCAUGGCGGAAACAACUGCCAUCAAGUGUUUAUAAUAAAGUCUUUUACAUUGUUGUGGAAGAUUUUUAGCCUACUCUUUUUUGCAGAGUUGUUUUAAUUCAGAAAUGAUAUUUAAUGUCUGACAUGCUUCUGAGGUAUUAUAAGGUUUAGAGGAAAUAAAUUAAAGCAUAUAGCAACAGAAUGUGCACGUAUGUGUGUCUACAGCUUUUUUAUGUUUAAAGAAAUAGAAUAAAAGAAAGGCAGUUUGUGAUUGUCCAGAUAUGCUUAUUUUGUUUCACAGCAGAGUAGCUGACUACUUCAGCUGUAAGGUGUUCACUGUGUUCAUCAGAAGGACAGCCUGCAGCCUGGGGAAAGAAACUGUCUCUGUGGUAGCUGCUUUUUGCAAAUAGUGUUCUGUAGCGCCGACUUGAAAAGUCUAAAAAGUUUGUGUCCAGGAUGCGUGGGGUCUGCAGAGAUAAUAGCUGCCCUUUUUGUGGCCUGGAAUAUCAGCUAUAUUGUAGGGUUUUCAAGCAUGAAUAGCACUGCCUAAGGUCAUGCCACAGCAUCUCAAUCAGCUUUAGGUCUGGACUUUGACCCAGCCACCCCAAAACCUUCAGUUUGUUUUUUGUCUUGCUAUUUUUUCAGACCCUUGUCCUGCUGAAGAAACCCAAAUAAUAUCAAAUGUUGUUUCUAAUGUGUUGUUGAAUUUCUUUGGUUCGGGGCUUAAUGUGGUGCUUUUUGAGAUCUUUUAGGCUACCUCAUGUUGUCAGACACAUUCUAUUUAGGUGAUCUGUAGCCUCUUCAGGUCAAAGCAGUAAUUAAGCCUGGGAGUGGCAAGUAAGAAUCAAGCAAGCUUUUUAAAAAAACACUGGCGAAUCACACUUAAUUCAUUAUUUAUAAAAGGGGAGGGAUUACUUUUUCCACAGAAAGGCAGGUGUGUUUGCAUAGCUCUUUGCCCGAAUAAAUAAAAUCAUCAUUUGAAAUCUGUGUGUUGUGAAUACCCAGUUUGUCUUUAAAAAUACAAUUUGUUUUGAUGAUUUGAAUAUUUGAGAUUGGCACCGAGUGGGGCAACUAAAAGAUCCCUUCUCCCUAUUUCAGUGUCCAAAUUGACUGUCAAGCGCCUGCAAUACUAAAUUUAAUUAUGAUGAUUUUGAAAACUCCUCUCAAACCAGAAAAUAAAAGUGUUAAUUAGA